This 246-nucleotide ribosomal RNA is filed under the name uncultured bacterium. RNAcentral describes it as "partial 16S ribosomal RNA". It matches the Rfam family "Bacterial small subunit ribosomal RNA", at positions 524 to 770 of the family's 1533-position model. The record is from RNAcentral.
UACGAAGGGGCUAGCGUUGCUCGGAAUUACUGAGCGUAAAGCGCACGUAGGCGGCUUUCUAAGUCGGGGGUGAAAUCCUGGAGCUCAACUCCAGAACUGCCUUCGAUACUGGAGAGCUUGAGUCCGGGAGAGGUGAGUGGAACUGCGAGUGUAGAGGUGAAAUUCGUAGAUAUUCGCAAGAACACCAGUGGCGAAGGCGGCUCACUGGCCCGAUACUGACGCUGAGGCACGAAAGCGUGGGGAGCA